CAGCCGCCACGGGAAUACGAAGGGGGCUAGCGUUGUUCGGAUUUACUGGGCGUAAAGGGCGCGUAGGCGGACUGAUAAGUCAGGGGUGAAAUCCCAAGGCUCAACCUUGGAACUGCCUUUGAUACUGUUUGUCUUGAGUUCGAGAGAGGUAAGUGGAACUGCGAGUGUAGAGGUGAAAUUCGUAGAUAUUCGCAUGGACACCAGUGGCGAAGGCGGCUUACUGGCUCGAUACUGACGCUGAGGCGCGAAAGCGUGGAGAGCAAACAGGAUUAGAUACCCCAGUAGUCCCUGUCUCUUAUAA
This 301-nucleotide ribosomal RNA is filed under the name uncultured bacterium. RNAcentral's name for it is "partial 16S ribosomal RNA". It matches the Rfam family "Bacterial small subunit ribosomal RNA", at positions 509 to 809 of the family's 1533-position model. The record is from RNAcentral.